This 557-nucleotide ribosomal RNA is filed under the name uncultured bacterium. Its description in RNAcentral is "bacterial SSU rRNA". It matches the Rfam family "Bacterial small subunit ribosomal RNA", at positions 102 to 694 of the family's 1533-position model. The record is from RNAcentral.
ACGGGUGCGUAACACGUGGGAAUGUACCUAGUGGUUCGGAACAACGCUUGGAAACGAGUGCUAAUACCGGAUGAGCCCGAAAGGGGAAAGAUUUAUCGCCACUAGAUCAGCCCGCGUAGGAUUAGCUAGUUGGUAGGGUAACGGCCUACCAAGGCGACGAUCCUUAGCUGUUCUGAGAGGAAGAUCAGCCACACUGGGACUGAGACACGGCCCAGACUCCUACGGGAGGCAGCAGUUGGGAAUCUUGGACAAUGGGCGAAAGCCUGAUCCAGCCAUGCCGCGUGAGUGAUGAAGGCCUUAGGGUUGUAAAGCUCUUUUGCCCGGGAAGAUAAUGACUGUACCGGGAGAAUAAGCUCCGGCUAACUUCGUGCCAGCAGCCGCGGUAAUACGAAGGGGGCUAGCGUUGUUCGGAAUUACUGGGCGUAAAGCGUGCGCAGGCGGCUUUUCAAGUCAGGGGUGAAAGCCCAGAGCUCAACUCUGGAAAUGCCUUUGAAACUGUUAAGCUUGAGUGCGGGAGAGGUGAGUGGAAUUCCCAGUGUAGAGGUGAAAUUCGUAGA